This 222-nucleotide ribosomal RNA is filed under the name uncultured bacterium. RNAcentral describes it as "partial 16S ribosomal RNA". It matches the Rfam family "Bacterial small subunit ribosomal RNA", at positions 1283 to 1500 of the family's 1533-position model. The record is from RNAcentral.
CAAUCUCAGUUCAGAUUGCAGGCUGCAACUCGCCUGCAUGAAGGUCGGAAUUGCUAGUAAUCGUAGGUCAGCAUACUACGGUGAAUACGUUCCCGGGCCUUGUACACACCGCCCGUCAAACCAUGAGAGUUGGCAACACCCGAAGUCGGUAGUCUAACCGCAAGGGAGGACGCCGCCGAAGGUGGGGGUUGAUGAUUAGGGGUUAAGUCGUAACAAGGUAUC